Molecule: unclassified non-coding RNA, 331 nt
Filed under: soil metagenome
Description: partial contains 5.8S ribosomal RNA, internal transcribed spacer 2, and large subunit ribosomal RNA
Rfam family: 5.8S ribosomal RNA (bases 1-120)
Source: RNAcentral
GAUGAAGAACGCAGCGAAAUGCGAUAAGUAGUGUGAAUUGCAGACUUUAGUGAAUCAUCGAAUCUUUGAACGCACAUUGCGCCCCUUGGUAUUCCGAGGGGCAUGCCUAUUCGAGCGUCAUUAUCACCCCUCAAGCCUAGCUUGGUGUUGAGGCCUGCUGUCAAGGCAGCCUCUAAAAUCAGUGGCAGUGCUGUCAGGCUCUAAGCGUAGUAAAUCUAAUCGCUAUAGACACCUGGUGGACACUCGCCAGAACCCCCCCCCAUUUUUUAAUGAUUGACCUCGGAUUAGGUAGGGAUACCCGCUGAACUUAAGCAUAUCAAUAAGCGGAGGA